Pleuronectes platessa (European plaice) is the source of this 245-nucleotide long non-coding RNA. RefSeq lists it as uncharacterized. The record is from RefSeq and is a predicted model, not a curated record. Lineage: Eukaryota; Metazoa; Chordata; Actinopteri; Pleuronectiformes; Pleuronectidae. The transcript has 3 exons.
GUUUCAAGGUGGAGAAAUAUGUUUUGCCUAAAUUUGAUGUAAAAAUAACGGCAGAUGAUGUCAUCAGUAUUGAGCAGGAAGAAAUAAAAGCUGAAAUAUGUGCAAAGUAUACAUAUGGACAACCUGUGCCAGGCAGUGUCAAAGUUAAGGUCUGCCGACUUCUUAGUCGCUAUUAUGUUGCUAUAUCUACUCCUGAUAAUCCAGAGGGACUUCCUGACAUAACACCCCCAUGCUACGACGAAACA